ACCUAGUGGCAGCACCAGCUCAGGGCUGGAGGUGGUGGCUCCUGAGGGUACCUCAGCCCCAGGUGGUGGCCCAGGAACCCUGGAUGACAGUGCCACCAUUUGCCGUGUCUGCCAGAAGCCAGGCGAUCUGGUCAUGUGCAACCAGUGUGAGUUUUGUUUCCACCUGGACUGUCACCUGCCGGCCCUGCAGGAUGUACCAGGGGAGGAGUGGAGCUGCUCACUCUGCCAUGUGCUUCCUGACCUGAAGGAGGAGGAUGGCAGCCUCAGCCUGGAUGGUGCAGACAGCACUGGCGUGGUGGCCAAGCUCUCACCAGCCAACCAGCGGGUGAGGGCUGGGGUUACUUAGGUGGGGUUGCCCAGGGAGGCUUUAUAGGUGUUGCCCAGAGCUGUGACAUCCCUUACAAUGUUUGUAGAAAUGUGAGCGUGUACUGCUGGCCCUAUUCUGUCAUGAACCCUGCCGCCCCCUGCAUCAGCUGGCUACCGACUCCACCUUCUCCCUGGACCAGCCCGGUGGCACCCUGGAUCUGACCCUGAUCCGUGCCCGCCUCCAGGAGAAGUUGUCACCUCCCUACAGCUCCCCACAGGAGUUUGCCCAGGAUGUGGGCCGCAUGUUCAAGCAAUUCAACAAGUUAACUGAGGACAAGGCAGACGUGCAGUCCAUCAUC
This 665-nucleotide small RNA is filed under the name Pan troglodytes (chimpanzee). RNAcentral describes it as "retained intron". Lineage: Eukaryota; Metazoa; Chordata; Mammalia; Primates; Hominidae. The record is from RNAcentral.